UAGGGAAUCUUCCGCAAUGGGCGAAAGCCUGACGGAGCAACGCCGCGUGAGUGAUGAAGGUUUUCGGAUCGUAAAACUCUGUUAUUAGGGAAGAACAAAUGCGUAAGUAACUGUGCGCAUCUUGACGGUACCUAAUCAGAAAGCCACGGCUAACUACGU
RNAcentral lists this ribosomal RNA (159 nucleotides) under uncultured Staphylococcus sp. RNAcentral's name for it is "partial 16S ribosomal RNA". It matches the Rfam family "Bacterial small subunit ribosomal RNA", at positions 355 to 506 of the family's 1533-position model. Lineage: Bacteria; Bacillati; Bacillota; Bacilli; Caryophanales; Staphylococcaceae. The record is from RNAcentral.